RNAcentral lists this long non-coding RNA (1851 nucleotides) under Phaseolus vulgaris (common bean). RNAcentral describes it as "long non-coding RNA (PVUL_LNC003803)". The record is from RNAcentral. Lineage: Eukaryota; Viridiplantae; Streptophyta; Magnoliopsida; Fabales; Fabaceae.
UUUGUAGAUUGAGUGGCUUUCAGUGUCAUCUUAAUGAUUGUGUUUAGCUUUUUGUUGUGUUGAAUUGGUUUGGUUUGAUUUGAUAUGGUGUUACAACUUAAAUUGUGGUUUUGAAAAAUACGAGCUUGUUGCCGAGUGGUGUAGAAUUUUUGGAUUUUUUCUUUUAGAAAAUGUUUUUUUAUUAUUUUUACCAUUACUUGUAGAUCGUGUGGCUUUCGGUGUCUUCUUAAUGAGUGUGUUUGGUUUUUUAUUGUGUUGAAUUUGUUUUAUUUGAUUUAAUUUGAUAGGUGUUACAACUUAAAUUGUGGUUUUGAAAAAUAUGAGCUUGUUGCUGAGUGGUGUAGAACUUUUGGAUUUUUAGAAAAUAUGGGAUUUUUAUUUUUAUAUGCUAGGUGUUACAACUUAAAUUGUGGUUUUGAAAAAUAUGAGCCUUUUGCUGAGUGGUGUAGAAUUUUUGGAUUUUUUCUUUUAGAAAAUAUGUUUUUUAUUAUUUUUACCAUUACUUGUAGAUAGAGUGGCUUUCAGUGUCAUCUUAAUGAGCGUGUUUGGUUUUUUAUUGUGUUGAAUUUGUUUUAUUUGAUAGGUGUUACAACUUAAUCGUGGUUUUGGAAAAUACGAGCUUGUUGCUGAGUGGUGUAGAACUUUUGGAUUUUUUUGGAAAUAUGGGAUUUUUAUUUUUUGUGGAACACAUUUAUCGUGCUGACUUGGUAUGGUUACGGACUUAUGAUUUUUUGAAAGAUUAGAUUUUGUUCCUAAGAAGUGCUAUAGAAAUUCUUGGGUUUUUUCUCCUUUCUUUUGAGGACAUUUGAUUUUUAGUUUCGGAUUAUCACAACUAAGUUUCCCCCUUGUUUUGCGCUCUUUUCUCCGUCCCCUGCCCCGUUUUCUCCUAUGCCCCGCUUCUGCCGUCCCUUUUUUUUUUCUGGUUAGGUAAGCAUUGGAUAUGAUGAUCUUAGAGCUGCUGCAAAUUCUCUUCAUCAGAUGAUUGUGUGAAGUGUGUUCUUGGAAGUUCUCUUGGUGUUUUAGCAUCCUUUCUUUCUUUGCACCACCUGGUGUACUCACACCAAUGUUAUAUGCUUUCUCCAGUUGGCUUUUAGGCAUUACCAUAAAGUGUUUGUUCAUAAUUCUGCAUGCUUUAAUAAAAGAUUUUAACAAUUUCAAGGUUGGGGGCUCGAAAUGGGUAGGUAUUGUUCUAGGUUACUGUCGAAUUCUGAAUAUUUUGAUGUGUGCCCUUCAGCAUAUGCGGAUCGAAAUUAUUUAGGCUAAUCGAGGAAAGUAUUUAGACUCUCGGGGAAUAUUUUGAUCAAAAUUUCCCCAUCGAAAAUAAACACUAAUCAUUUAAAGCAAAAUCCCAGUCGUGAAAUUUAUAUUUAUAGUUGUAGAGGAAAAUCUUUUAUCAGGGUACUUUCGUACAUUUAAACUAUGGAUGUAAUUUCUUCCUGUAAGGUUUAGCAAGCAUUUCCGAACGAUUGUGGCCCGUCUAUGGUAAAUUUUAUCUUUGGACAAAGCAUAUUUAAACAGGGCUUAUUCCAGUUUUUUAAAAGAUAAGCAACAGGAAGCACAAAACUAAAUUUUAAUAAAUUCCCUGAAAAUCGCCAUAAAAUGUUUCAUUGAAUCACGAAUAGCCUGGGAGUUAGAACAAGUAGUCUCAGCUACGGGGAUGCACGUACAUGUGAUAUUUCUAUUUUUGUAAACAAUUUUUUUUUUCUAGAUGGUUUCUGUUUUUUAAAUUUAUGAUGUGCUUGUAUAAGUUAGUGUGUUGAUGCCAUUUUAUUUGUAUGUAUUUUUCCGGCUAGUAAUAAAUUAGAGCAAGCGUAAUAUUGCAUAAAGUAAAAUAUUUUGUUAUAUGUAAAA